RNAcentral lists this ribosomal RNA (253 nucleotides) under uncultured bacterium. RNAcentral's name for it is "partial 16S ribosomal RNA". It matches the Rfam family "Bacterial small subunit ribosomal RNA", at positions 524 to 776 of the family's 1533-position model. The record is from RNAcentral.
GACGUAGGUGGCGAACGUUAUCCGGAAUUAUUGGGCGUAAAGGGCGCGUAGGCGGUGCGGUAAGUCUGUAGUGAAAUCUCUGGGCUCAACUCAGAGUCUGCUAUAGAAACUGCCGUGCUUGAGUGUGGGAGAGGUGAGUGGAAUUCCCGGUGUAGCGGUGAAAUGCGUAGAUAUCAAGUGGAACACCAGUGGCGAAGGCGAGUCUCUGGACAUUUCCUGACGCUGAGGCACGAAAGCCAGGGGAGCAAACGGG